RNAcentral lists this ribosomal RNA (1053 nucleotides) under Salmonella enterica subsp. enterica. Its description in RNAcentral is "bacterial LSU rRNA". It matches the Rfam family "Bacterial large subunit ribosomal RNA", at positions 114 to 1211 of the family's 2925-position model. Lineage: Bacteria; Pseudomonadati; Pseudomonadota; Gammaproteobacteria; Enterobacterales; Enterobacteriaceae. The record is from RNAcentral.
CCGAAUGGGGAAACCCAGUGUGAUUCGUCACACUAUCAUUAACUGAAUCCAUAGGUUAAUGAGGCGAACCGGGGGAACUGAAACAUCUAAGUACCCCGAGGAAAAGAAAUCAACCGAGAUUCCCCCAGUAGCGGCGAGCGAACGGGGAGGAGCCCAGAGCCUGAAUCAGCAUGUGUGUUAGUGGAAGCGUCUGGAAAGGCGCGCGAUACAGGGUGACAGCCCCGUACACAAAAGCGCAUGUGCUGUGAGCUCGAUGAGUAGGGCGGGACACGUGGUAUCCUGUCUGAAUAUGGGGGGACCAUCCUCCAAGGCUAAAUACUCCUGACUGACCGAUAGUGAACCAGUACCGUGAGGGAAAGGCGAAAAGAACCCCGGCGAGGGGAGUGAAAAAGAACCUGAAACCGUGUACGUACAAGCAGUGGGAGCACCUUCGGGUGUGACUGCGUACCUUUUGUAUAAUGGGUCAGCGACUUAUAUUCUGUAGCAAGGUUAACCGUAUAGGGGAGCCGGAGGGAAACCGAGUCUUAAUUGGGCGUUAAGUUGCAGGGUAUAGACCCGAAACCCGGUGAUCUAGCCAUGGGCAGGUUGAAGGUUGGGUAACACUAACUGGAGGACCGAACCGACUAAUGUUGAAAAAUUAGCGGAUGACCUGUGGCUGGGGGUGAAAGGCCAAUCAAACCGGGAGAUAGCUGGUUCUCCCCGAAAGCUAUUUAGGUAGCGCCUCGUGAAUUCAUCUCCGGGGGUAGAGCACUGUUUCGGCUAGGGGGCCAUCCCGGCUUACCAACCCGAUGCAAACUGCGAAUACCGGAGAAUGUUAUCACGGGAGACACACGGCGGGUGCUAACGUCCGUCGUGAAGAGGGAAACAACCCAGACCGCCAGCUAAGGUCCCAAAGUCAUGGUUAAGUGGGAAACGAUGUGGGAAGGCCCAGACAGCCAGGAUGUUGGCUUAGAAGCAGCCAUCAUUUAAAGAAAGCGUAAUAGCUCACUGGUCGAGUCGGCCUGCGCGGAAGAUGUAACGGGGCUAAACCAUGCACCGAAGCUGCGGCAGCGA